Mugil cephalus (flathead mullet) is the source of this 382-nucleotide long non-coding RNA. RefSeq lists it as uncharacterized. The record is from RefSeq and is a predicted model, not a curated record. The transcript has 3 exons. Lineage: Eukaryota; Metazoa; Chordata; Actinopteri; Mugiliformes; Mugilidae.
CAGAGGAAUUCGGCUUCAGACUGAGGUGACAUGAGUGAGAAAUUAUAGCCCCUUACACUACAAGGAAGACAUCAAGAUGUUUCUCCCUUUCUCCUGGAUACUUGGAACCUCUGACUGGACGCCUUUUGAUUCAAACUCAUUUGGAUGCUUUUUUCAAGGCAUUGUAGGUGCGUGUGGAAUAUCAGUGCUGUGCAACCUGAUCAGAAUUUAUAACUUCAUUCAAACAUGCAGUGAUUCUGAAACUGAAAACAGAAGUACACAGAGGUCGCCCUCAUCAGGCGGUCCUCUGGGGGGGACCUGGAGAGCCACUCUGCAGUUCUGGUCCCUGGCUAUCCUCCUGUCUCUGGUGGGCUCCAGGGUUUCUUCUCUGAUAGUGCUGGAG